RNAcentral lists this transfer RNA (89 nucleotides) under Azolla caroliniana (mosquito fern). Its description in RNAcentral is "tRNA-Ser". It matches the Rfam family "tRNA". From Rfam's summary of the family: Transfer RNA (tRNA) molecules are approximately 80 nucleotides in length. Their secondary structure includes four short double-helical elements and three loops (D, anti-codon, and T loops). The record is from RNAcentral. Lineage: Eukaryota; Viridiplantae; Streptophyta; Polypodiopsida; Salviniales; Salviniaceae.
GGAGAGAUGGCCGAGUGGUUUAUGGCUCCAGUCUUGAAAACUGGCAUGGUGCCGAAACACCAUCGAGGGUUCGAAUCCCUCUCUCUCCU